CGCGUAGGCGGGCUGUUAAGUCGGGGGUGAAAUCCCGGGGCUCAACCCCGGAACUGCCCUCGAUACUGGCAGCCUAGAGGAUGAGAGAGGCGAGUGGAAUUCCGAGUGUAGAGGUGAAAUUCGUAGAUAUUCGGAGGAACACCAGUGGCGAAGGCGGCUCGCUGGCUCAUUUCUGACGCUGAGGUGCGAAAGCGUGGGGAGCAAACA
This 207-nucleotide ribosomal RNA is filed under the name uncultured bacterium. RNAcentral describes it as "partial 16S ribosomal RNA". It matches the Rfam family "Bacterial small subunit ribosomal RNA", at positions 568 to 774 of the family's 1533-position model. The record is from RNAcentral.